GUACCGCUGCGGUACAGGUGUGCUUCCUGGUAUUUCCCUUGAGCCUACUUUUACCCCCGGGGGCAAUGCUGUUUAGAUGUUGAUGUGCAUAUCCGUUCUGCGGAGAGCCUAAUUCAUUUUCCGGUGCUCCCACUUGAACCUUUGGUUCAAGGACAACGGCAGCCACGGUAUUCGUGGGGUACC
This 183-nucleotide non-coding RNA is filed under the name Gammaproteobacteria bacterium. RNAcentral's name for it is "6S RNA". It matches the Rfam family "6S / SsrS RNA". Rfam says of the family: E. coli 6S RNA was the first non coding RNA to be sequenced, but its function was unknown until recently. It consists of 184 nucleotides that fold into an extended hairpin structure with a large single-stranded internal bulge. Lineage: Bacteria; Pseudomonadati; Pseudomonadota; Gammaproteobacteria. The record is from RNAcentral.